Molecule: ribosomal RNA, 254 nt
Filed under: uncultured bacterium
Lineage: Bacteria
Description: partial 16S ribosomal RNA
Rfam family: Bacterial small subunit ribosomal RNA
Source: RNAcentral
UACGUAGGGGGCAAGCGUUGUCCGGAUUUAUUGGGCGUAAAGAGCUCGUAGGUGGUUCGGUAAGUCGGAUGUGAAGUCUCCAGGCUCAACCUGGAGGGGUCAUUCGAUACUGCCGUGACUAGAGGUCGGUAGGGGAGUGUGGAAUUCCUGGUGGAGCGGUGAAAUGCGCAGAUAUCAGGAGGAACACCCGUAGCGAAGGCGGCACUCUGGGCCGAUACUGACACUGAGGAGCGAAAGCGUGGGGAGCGAACAGG